Long non-coding RNA from Gallus gallus (chicken), 2128 nucleotides. RefSeq lists it as uncharacterized. The transcript has 4 exons. The record is from RefSeq and is a predicted model, not a curated record. NCBI's taxonomy places the organism in Eukaryota, Metazoa, Chordata, Aves, Galliformes, Phasianidae.
CUUACCGUGCGGGUGGCGGGCGGCGGCGCUCGGCUCGGCGCGGCCUCUCUCAGCGCGACUGGGCCGAGCGCGGCGGCGGCUGCGGCGGGGCGGGCGGGCGGGAGGGGAGGGAGGGGCCGAGCUCGGAGCUGAGUGGAAGCGGCCAAGCUCCCCGGGCCGGGCCCGCCGUCAGCACGUCACGUCACUGCCCGAGAGAGACCCAGGAAAAGGCGGAAGGGAGCGCGCCGCCGCCGCUGCCCGCCGCCUCGGGCCAGCCGCCCGCUGGGGCCGGGGCCUGUGCCGGACGCGGCGCGGGAAAGGGUGGCGGCGGUGGUGGUGGCGGCGGCGGCGGCGACGGGAGGGGGAGGCGCGGCGCGGCGCGGCGGCGCUCGGCUCCCCGCGGCUCCUCCUGCCGCCGCCUCCGCCGCUGCUCGGCCGCCAAGCGCCGCUCGGGGCUCUGCGUGCGUCCCCGGAGCGGAGCGGCGGUCCCGGGGACCCCCACCCGACCCGGCCCCUCCAUACUGGAGCCUCCCCCGCCCUAAGGCCGCUAUCCCGCGGUGCAGGCCCGUGGCCCGGCCCGGCCUUGUUGUGGUGCGGCCCGGCGGGCCCCGCUCUGCCGCCGGCCUGGCCGAGGCGUCCCGGGGUGCGGAUAUGGGGGGAUUUUGGGGCGCGGAGAUGGAGCGAUGGGUGUUAGGGGGCCUCGGGCUUCGGGUGGUCUUGUGUCAGCGGGUAUGGCUGCACCCUGCAAGUAUUACUAACAGUAAUAACAACAGUUAAGCAGAGGGGCCCCAGAUUUUGGUGGGGAAAGUGGCUCCCACACGAAUUGGGAACGGUGCUACCCCCAGGGCUACUGGCACUUUUGUAAAAGGCAGCUGUGGUGCCUUGGCCCAGUGCUGCUCAUGCAAGGAGACAGAAAUGGGGGAAAAAGAAAGUGGGGAAAGGGUCUCCUUUCAUAGACUGCAGAACGUUUGGAGGAAUGUUCUGUCAAAAGCGAUGUGCUUGGCUGGCAGUGUUUUCUGCUCCUUGUCCUAAAAGUUAAUCAGAUUUUCUUUUGUUUUUCAAGAAAACAGUCACUGUUGAUCCAUGAGAGAUGCAGCCUAGAGUGUUCCAGCUAUUAGAAAUUACACACCACAAGCAGCCCUAUGGCAACAAGGAGGAUCAAACAGACCUCUUUGUGAGCUGUUGGUACAUGCGAUGAAGGUGAAAGGACUGGUAAUUCAACCUAAUGUUUCUGGAGGACAGCCUGAGAGAUCCUGAAAAAGAAGGUCUAGGGAAGACCCAAACAGUUAAAAGAACCCAAAAAUGAACUUUGUGUCAAGCAAAAUUCUUGCGGCUACAUGUGUAUGAGACAUGACAGCUCUUGGAAACCCUCAGGUCUCAGAUACCAUAUAGACAUGAAAAGUUGUCAUUUUUUAUCCUUUCAAGGUAAGAGAGGACAACUUACGUGUCUGUGCCACUUAUAGACACGUUUGACUGUUGCAGCCGAAAAGCUCCCGCACUGCGGUGCCGGAGGCAUCAGGCACUGCGCCGAGCAGCCGUGGCGAUGACGGUGGCAACGGCAGAGCUGACGCAGGACGGGCGCCCACCGCGGCCGGCCGUCAUCGGGCAGGCACAGGCGCCAUCGUACGGCCGGGAAGGGACGGGCUCUGGAGGCUGAGCUUGGCGCGGUACCUGGAAACGGCUGUGAGAAAGGGAGGGCAGCCGCUGGGAGGCCUGCAGGUGCCCAGCCCCGGCCAGGCAGCGAGAUGCCUUUCAGAUGCUUUUGGGUUUUGUAUGUAGCGGAACAAAACCGGCAGAGACGUUACUGAGGAAUUCACGCUUCUUCGGAGCGCGGUGUGAGCCGUGCCUGCGCUCGGCACUGCCCACGGACACGUGGAACUCUGAGAAAGAGUUACUGACGCGGCGCUGCAGCUCUGUGCCGUUGCACAAGAGGCCUCCGUGCGGUACUGCAGGGCUCUGUUGCGUCACACCGCCUCCUUACAUCAUCCUGAAGUAACAGCGCCUGACGCCACGCCUGCAGUCAGCGGCGGGCCUGGAGCAGUGCUCGUGUUUAACUGGAGCCACUGCACACUCCUGUAGGGGAGGUCAAACAUCAGGGCUGCACGGAAGUUGCACAUAAUGCAACAAAAUAAAAUGGUGUCCUCAUUUA